RNAcentral lists this ribosomal RNA (465 nucleotides) under uncultured bacterium. RNAcentral describes it as "partial 16S ribosomal RNA". It matches the Rfam family "Bacterial small subunit ribosomal RNA", at positions 28 to 507 of the family's 1533-position model. The record is from RNAcentral.
GACGAACGCUGGCGGUGUGCUUAACACAUGCAAGUCGAACGGAAAGGCCCUUUUUGGGGUACACUCGUGUCGCAAGGGUGAGUAUCACGUGUGUAACCUGUCCUCCUCACUGGGGUAUCAGUCGGGAACAGUUGGUAAAAUUGGGUAUGGGCCUGUCGGGCAUCGUGUGGGUUGGAAAGAUUUUUUGGGUUGGGGUGGGACCCGCGCCUUUUCAGCUUGUUGGUGGGGUAUGGGCUUCCCAAGGGUUCGCCGGGUAGCGGGCCUGAGAGGGGAGCCGGCCACAUUGGGACUGAGUACGGCCCAAGCCCCUAACGGGAGCAACCGUUGGGAAAAUUGCACAAUGGACGGAAGUCUGAUGCAGCAGCGGCGCGUGCGGGAUGACGGCCUUCGGGUUGUAAACCGCUUUCAAUCGUGACGAAGCUUUUUGUGACGGUACCAGUAGAAGAAGCACCGGCUAACUACGUG